RNAcentral lists this transfer RNA (61 nucleotides) under Brachycybe lecontii. Its description in RNAcentral is "tRNA-Phe". Lineage: Eukaryota; Metazoa; Arthropoda; Diplopoda; Playtdesmida; Andrognathidae. The record is from RNAcentral.
UAAAUAGCUUAUUGAGCGUAGUUUUGAAGCAGCUAAGGAGGAAAAGUUUUCCUUUAGGAAU